AUGUGUGGAUUUCUUGCAGGUGAGCACAGGGUGGCAGCUGCUCCCUGCAGUGUUUUCCUGCUCGGGUCAGUCUCUCCUGGGGAAGCAAUGACAGAAACUAGGCCAGAUGGUGCGGGAGAGAGAGAGAGAGACAGAGCGGGCCGCUCUCAACCUGACCAACUGCACCACAUUCAAGGCUUUGAUCUAAAAUUGGCCUCUGUAGAAGACUUGUGUACAGUCAUUUUCAUAUGGGCUUUGAACAUAUUGAAAGGGCUCAUAGCUGCCGUCGCUUUUAUCCUCUGAUUCCUUUUCCCUUGGAAACGACGAGCAUAUGGCAAACACCCUCACUGGAUUCUCAGACAACGGGAGGGACCGUAUUCCGAUUCCUGCAUCCUGUCAUCGGCGAAUCCCAGGGUGCUACCCGAACCCUCCCUCCCGCGCACACGCAGCACAAACACACCGUCUCCUCCAGACUUUGAAAUGCGCUCUGCAUUUGUCUGACAUCCUUAAACUGGAACACAAUGCUCUAAUCUCUCUCUCAUUUUACCUUGUUUUUACCUGAACUCACUUGCUUUUGAUUCUACCUAUUUUGAAAAGUUAAAACUGUUAAAAUUUGUAAAUUCUAACAUUCUUAUGAGUGGCAUUUAAUGAAGUUUAAGCCAUUAUUCACUAUAAAUCUUCUAAAAACCUCAUUCGCAUUCAUAUUCAAAUUGAGGUGUUGCAUCAUGUUUGCUGUCAUUGACACCAAACGUUUUUUUCUUUUUCUUUCUUUUUUUUCUUGUAUGUACCUUUUUGGAGCUUGGUGAAUGUGGAAAAAUAAAUAAUUUCAUCAUCUAGUGAACUAUUCCUUU
Molecule: long non-coding RNA, 830 nt
Organism: Cyprinus carpio (common carp)
Lineage: Eukaryota; Metazoa; Chordata; Actinopteri; Cypriniformes; Cyprinidae
Source: Ensembl